GACAGAGGUGCCGAGCGUUAGGCGGAAUCACUGGGCUUAAAGCGUGUGUAGGCGGGUCGUUAAGUGUCCGGGGGAAAUCCCCCGGCUCAACCGGGGAACGGCCGGGCAUACUGGCGACCUUGAGGCACCCAGGGGCUGUCGGAACAAGCGGUGGAGCGGUGAAAUGCGUAGAUAUCGUCUGGAACGCCAGAGGUGAAAACAGUCUGCUGGGGACUUGCUGACGCUGAGACACGAAAGCCAGGGGAGCGAACGGG
Molecule: ribosomal RNA, 254 nt
Filed under: uncultured bacterium
Lineage: Bacteria
Description: partial 16S ribosomal RNA
Rfam family: Bacterial small subunit ribosomal RNA
Source: RNAcentral